CCUACGGGGGGCAGCAGUGAGGAAUAUUGGUCAAUGGACGAGAGUCUGAACCAGCCAAGUAGCGUGAAGGAUGACUGCCCUAUGGGUUGUAAACUUCUUUUAUAUGGGAAUAAAAUGUUCCACGUGUGGGUUUUUGUAUGUACCAUAUGAAUAAGGAUCGGCUAACUCCGUGCCAGCAGCCGCGGUAAUACGGAGGAUACGAGCGUUAUCCGGAUUUAUUGGGUUUAACGGGAGCGUAGGUGGAUUGUUAAGUCAGUUGUGAAAGUUUGCGGCUCAACCGUAAAAUUGCAGUUGAAACUGGCAGUCUUGAGUACAGGAGAGGUGGGCGGAAUUCGUGGUGUAGCGGUGAAAUGCUUAGAUAUCACGAAGAACUCCGAUUGCGAAGGCAGCUCACUGGACUGCAACUGACACUGAGGCUCGAAAGUGUGGGUAUCAAACAGGAUUAGAUACCCGUGUAGUC
Molecule: ribosomal RNA, 460 nt
Filed under: uncultured bacterium
Lineage: Bacteria
Description: partial 16S ribosomal RNA
Rfam family: Bacterial small subunit ribosomal RNA
Source: RNAcentral